RNAcentral lists this ribosomal RNA (253 nucleotides) under uncultured bacterium. Its description in RNAcentral is "partial 16S ribosomal RNA". It matches the Rfam family "Bacterial small subunit ribosomal RNA", at positions 524 to 776 of the family's 1533-position model. The record is from RNAcentral.
GACGUAGGAUGCAAGCGUUGUCCGGAUUUAUUGGGCGUAAAGAGUUCGUAGGUGGUACGUUAAGUCUGAUGUUAAAGACUGGGGCUCAACCCUGGAAGUGCAUUGGAUACUGGCGGACUUGAGUGUGGUAGAGGCAAUCGGAAUUCCAGGUGUAGCGGUGAAAUGCGUAGAUAUCUGGAAGAACACCGGUGGCGCAAGCGGAUUGCUGGGCCAUAACUGACACUGAGGAACGAAAGCUAGGGGAGCGAAUGGG